Molecule: ribosomal RNA, 472 nt
Filed under: uncultured Gemmatimonadota bacterium
Lineage: Bacteria; Pseudomonadati; Gemmatimonadota
Description: SSU rRNA
Rfam family: Bacterial small subunit ribosomal RNA
Source: RNAcentral
CAGCUAGUUGGUGAGGUAACGGCUCACCAAGGCAACGACGGGUAGCUGGUCUGAGAGGAUGGCCAGCCACAUUGGGACUGAGACACGGCCCAGACUCCUACGGGAGGCAGCAGUGGGGAAUAUUGCGCAAUGGACGAAAGUCUGACGCAGCGACGCCGCGUGUGGGAUGACGGUCUUCGGAUUGUAAACCACUGUCGGGAGGGACGAAUACGCCGCAAGGCGGGUGACGGUACCUCCAAAGGAAGCACCGGCUAACUCCGUGCCAGCAGCCGCGGUAAUACGGAGGGUGCGAGCGUUGUCCGGAAUCACUGGGCGUAAAGGGCGCGUAGGCGGCCUGAUAAGUAGGGGGUGAAAUCUUGCGGCUUAACCGCAAGGCUGCCUUCUAAACUGUCAGGCUGGAGCACAGUAGAGGCAGGUGGAAUUCCCGGUGUAGCGGUGGAAUGCGUAGAGAUCGGGAAGAACAUCAGUGGCG